ACGGCUCAGUAACACGUGGAUAACCUGCCCUUGGGUCCGGCAUAACCCCGGGAAACUGGGGAUAAUUCCGGAUACCGCAUAUGUGCUGGAAUGCUUUAUGCGUAAAAUGGAUUCGUCUGCCCAAGGAUGGGUCUGCGGCCUAUCAGGUAGUAGUGGGUGUAAUGUACCUACUAGCCGACAACGGGUACGGGUUGUGAGAGCAAGAGCCCGGAGAUGGAUUCUGAGACAUGAAUCCAGGCCCUACGGGGCGCAGCAGGCGCGAAAACUUUACAAUGCGGGAAACCGUGAUAAGGGGACACCGAGUGUCAGCGUCAUACGCUGGCUGUCCAGGUGUGUAAAAUACACCUGUUAGCAAGGGCCGGGCAAGACCGGUGCCAGCCGCCGCGGUAACACCGGCGGCCCGAGUGGUGAUCGUGAUUAUUGGGUCUAAAGGGUCCGUAGCCGGUUUGGUCAGUCCUCCGGGAAAUCUGAUAGCUCAACUAUUAGGCUAUCGGGGGAUACUACCAGACUUGGAACCGGGAGAGGUAAGAGGUACUACAGGGGUAGGAGUGAAAUCUUGUAAUCCCUGUGGGACCACCUGUGGCGAAGGCGUCUUACCAGAACGGGUUCGACGGUGAGGGACGAAAGCUGGGGGCACGAACCGGAUUAGAUACCCGGGUAGUCCCAGCCGUAAACGAUGCUCGCUAGGUGUCAGGCAUGGCGCGACCGUGUCUGGUGCCGCANGGAAGCCGUGAAGCGAGCCA
This 743-nucleotide ribosomal RNA is filed under the name uncultured Methanosarcina sp. RNAcentral's name for it is "bacterial SSU rRNA". It matches the Rfam family "Archaeal small subunit ribosomal RNA", at positions 85 to 826 of the family's 1478-position model. Lineage: Archaea; Methanobacteriati; Methanobacteriota; Methanomicrobia; Methanosarcinales; Methanosarcinaceae. The record is from RNAcentral.